Molecule: unclassified non-coding RNA, 379 nt
Filed under: soil metagenome
Description: partial contains 5.8S ribosomal RNA, internal transcribed spacer 2, and large subunit ribosomal RNA
Rfam family: 5.8S ribosomal RNA (bases 1-120)
Source: RNAcentral
GAUGAAGAACGCAGCGAAAUGCGAUAAGUAAUGUGAAUUGCAGAAUUCAGUGAAUCAUCGAAUCUUUGAACGCACCUUGCACCCUUUGGCAUUCUGAAGGGUAUGCUCGUUUGAGUGUCAUUGUACUCUCACACUCCCGAUCUUUGCAUUGGGAGCAGUGGACUUGGGUUUGCUGCUUCACCGUCGCUUACCUCAAAUAGGUUAGUGCAACUCUUGGUUGGACAUAGUACGGCGUGAUAAGUGUUCUUCGCCGGUGCCUCGCAAAGAGGGUGGCCGAUCGGGAUGUUGUGCUCCAAACCGUCUUCGGACAAUCUCUGACGACUUGACCUCAAAUCGAGUAAGACUACCCGCUGAACUUAAGCAUAUCAUAAGCGGAGGA